RNAcentral lists this ribosomal RNA (340 nucleotides) under Staphylococcus aureus. RNAcentral describes it as "bacterial SSU rRNA". It matches the Rfam family "Bacterial small subunit ribosomal RNA", at positions 1 to 330 of the family's 1533-position model. Lineage: Bacteria; Bacillati; Bacillota; Bacilli; Caryophanales; Staphylococcaceae. The record is from RNAcentral.
UUUAUGGAGAGUUUGAUCCUGGCUCAGGAUGAACGCUGGCGGCGUGCCUAAUACAUGCAAGUCGAGCGAACGGACGAGAAGCUUGCUUCUCUGAUGUUAGCGGCGGACGGGUGAGUAACACGUGGAUAACCUACCUAUAAGACUGGGAUAACUUCGGGAAACCGGAGCUAAUACCGGAUAAUAUUUUGAACCGCAUGGUUCAAAAGUGGAAGACGGUCUUGCUGUCACUUAUAGAUGGAUCCGCGCUGCAUUAGCUAGUUGGUAAGGUAACGGCUUACCAAGGCAACGAUGCAUAGCCGACCUGAGAGGGUGAUCGGCCACACUGGAACUGAGACACGGU